CCAUAGCCAGAAAUAUGGAACCGGAACAGGCGGAGCUUAUUUUCGGCUAUAUUAGCAUAAAUUAGCAUAGGUCAAUCAAAUCACUGUGUUGAACAAUUGUGAUUGGCUAAUCGCUUAACCCGAAUCAAUCUGUACAUUUGGGUUUAAACAUGGCGGACUCGACUGAGCUAGGCCCGAUGAACUUUCGAAGAAGAGAAAGUGUGAUACRUCUUUUUAUGAGGUUGAAAGGUUGAUAUCAAGUCGAAAAGUCAAUGGCAAACAACUCGAAUAUUUGGUAAAGUGGAAAUAUUAUUCCAUAUACGAAGCAUCCUGGGAACCGUCAGAAAAUAUAACAACAGAAUGCAUCAAGUAUUUUGAAAGUCCAUUACCAUCACAGCAAAUCAUAUUAGAUGAAGUGGCAAGACUUAAAAARUAAAAGCAGCCUUCCUGUCACAGUAAACUUCAGGCAUGAUGUCUUUAAGUUUUUGUUCAAGGGAAAGCUUUGCAGGAUGGCAGAUUUUGGACGAAAAUGACUUUCCAUCAGUAUUUUUCCCUGAGAGCUGGGAUAAAUGUAUAGAUUCCCAUGGACAAGGAACAAAAAUAUUCUUCCCCAUAAAAGUUAGAACACUGCUGUCAUUCUCUACUAAGRAAUAUACCAAAACAAGCAAUGGUAGUUUUGAAGUCACUCCUAGAGCAUUUGAAGAAAAAAUUACUUUUGCAAUCAGGAGAAGAGCAACUGGUGCUUAGUUAACAAUUAUUAACACUGUAGAUGGGUAUACAUCACAGGAAAAGAAGUAAAAUAAAUCAUGAAUGUUAUCAAUAUAAA
This is a long non-coding RNA of Actinia tenebrosa (Australian red waratah sea anemone), 805 nucleotides long. RefSeq lists it as uncharacterized. The record is from RefSeq and is a predicted model, not a curated record. Lineage: Eukaryota; Metazoa; Cnidaria; Anthozoa; Actiniaria; Actiniidae.